UUAUCCGGAUUUAUUGGGUUUAAAGGGUGCGUAGGCGGCAAGGUAAGUCAGCGGUGAAAGACCAGGGCUCAACUCUGGAAGUGCCGUUGAUGCUGUCUGGCUAGAAUGAUUCCGCCGUGGGAGGAAUGAGUAGUGUAGCGGUGAAAUGCAUAGAUAUUACUCAGAACACCGAUUGCGAAGGCAUCUCACGAGGGGUUCAUUGACGCUGAGGCACGAAAGCGUGGGGAUCGAACAGGAUUAGAUACCCUGGUAGUCCACGCAGUAAACGAUGAUGGCUAACUGUCGGGCCUUCGGGUUCGGCGGCCAAGCGAAAGCGAUAAGCCAUCCACCUGGGGAGUACGACCGCAAGGUUGAAACUCAAAGGAAUUGACGGGGGCCCGCACAAGCGGAGGAACAUGUGGUUUAAUUCGAUGAUACGCGAGGAA
This 425-nucleotide ribosomal RNA is filed under the name uncultured bacterium. RNAcentral's name for it is "bacterial SSU rRNA". It matches the Rfam family "Bacterial small subunit ribosomal RNA", at positions 541 to 968 of the family's 1533-position model. The record is from RNAcentral.